CUACAUUCAUUUAACAUUUUACUUUUACAUAUAACAUCUAUAAUAUUACUCUCUCUACUUGUUUCAUUGUCAUAUUAAAAAAUAAGCUUUCUUCUAAAAUUGUGGAAUAACUACAAAAUCAACUUUAAAGUAAUAACAUUUAAUUUGUGGACACAUAUAUAUUAGUUAGUAAGAAUUCAAAGAGCUCAUAUUCAAAUUUCAGUGCAAUGUGAAGAACCAGUAAGACUCUCUAAACUUAAAACUUUUCCCAACACUAGUAAGACUACAAAAUACAACUGACGAAAACAUGAAAUUAAUAAUUAAAAAAGACAUAGUAUUUAAUUGUAUUUAGUUUUGUUGUAAGAAAAGAAGUAGAAUAGUUGGAAUUUAGGUUGGGAAGGUAAAAGAAAUAACGUGGUGGUAGGUGUUUUGUUGAUUAGAAAAGAGUACGAUCGAAAAUCCAUUACUUGAAUUGAAGGGCAAUAAUAACACACCUACAACUACAGGUAAUUAACAUUAGGAGCAUAUGUUACAGAGAGAUUCAGAGAUAGCCAUGCUUCACAUGCCACAUGCACAUGCCACGUCAGCAAUACUCAUGAUGAUUAUCCAACCAUUUCUGCAACCUCAGUUCUCUGUAGAAUCUCUCUAUGAAUUCCUCCGCCGCCUUGUCCACGUGAAACUCCUUCUCCACCUCCACCGUCUCCCUUUCUACCCUCACGCGCCUCCUUUCAUUGCCGGUGCCACGUCUCCUUUGCCGCCGUCCAUGCUCUGUACCCGGAGAUA
Molecule: long non-coding RNA, 762 nt
Filed under: Cicer arietinum (chickpea)
Lineage: Eukaryota; Viridiplantae; Streptophyta; Magnoliopsida; Fabales; Fabaceae
Description: long non-coding RNA (CARI_LNC003802)
Source: RNAcentral